GACGAACGCUGGCGGCGUGCUUAACACAUGCAAGUCGAACGGAAAGGCCCUGCUUGCGGGGUACUCGAGUGGCGAACGGGUGAGUAACACGUGGGUGAUCUGCCCUGCACUUCGGGAUAAGCUGGGGAAACUGGGUCUAAUACCGGAUAGGAGCCAUCUUUAGUGUGGUGGUUGGAAAGUUUUUUCGGUGUAGGAUGAGCUCGCGGCCUAUCAGCUUGUUGGUGGGGUAAUGGCCUACCAAGGCGGCGACGGGUAGCCGGCCUGAGAGGGUGUACGGCCACAUUGGGACUGAGAUGCGGCCCAGACGCCUACGGGAGGCAGCAGUGGGGAAUAUUGCACAAUGGGCGCAAGCCUGAUGCAGCGACGCCGCGUGGGGGAUGAAGGCCUUCGGGUUGUAAACUCCUUUCGCUAGGGACGAAGCUUUUUGUGACGGUACCUAGAUAAGAAGCACCGGCUAACUACGUG
This 465-nucleotide ribosomal RNA is filed under the name uncultured bacterium. RNAcentral's name for it is "partial 16S ribosomal RNA". It matches the Rfam family "Bacterial small subunit ribosomal RNA", at positions 28 to 507 of the family's 1533-position model. The record is from RNAcentral.